GCCCAACAAACAUUUAAGACGUCGAGUAGACGUUUUGGUAACAACUUAAUGUUAUUUAGUAUAAUCGUAUAAACGUCAUAAGGACGUUUACUCGACGGCAUUUGGGCCCACUUUAUAUAACUUAAGGCGCUAAGAGUUUCGUAUAACAGUCAUAUAAAACACCUAUUAGUCGCAUAGUAGUCAUAUACGCGUCGGCGAUUUGACUACAUGUCGUGUAAUGGUAGCUGUUGCGGCGUGUAUUCGACUUAAUGUCACAAAUAUGAUUUUUAUAUGAUGAAAUAGGUAUGUAAUGGACGUUUAAAGAUUAUAUUAAGAACGAAUAUUAUAAAAUAUUAUUUUAAUGGAGUAGUGCUUUUGACAGCUGUGUUUAUUUUGUUUUUUUUUUCUUGUUAUUUGAGGUGAUAAAACCAUUCCAUCAGUUGUAAACCAUUGGGCAAUCAAGUUUACUGAUUAAUGUGAGGUUAAUUUUUAACAAAUUUUUAAUGCGCCUUCUAAAUUUUAAUGUUAUCACAUAUUUUUAUGAAUAAUUUACUAUGUGACUGCGUUAUAUGACAACUAUAUAACUUCCCGACCAAUAAGCUGCGAGUUCAUUGUAAAUAAAUAUCAUAAAUUUGAUUUAAAAAUGGUGGAAGUGGUAUACAAGGUACGAAUACAGCGCUGAACAAACAGGCGAAGACGCUAGCUCCAGCGAAGAUCCAAAAUGUGACACUGGGUCCCCAGCCCGGCAACAUGUACCCAAACGCAGCUGUUAUACCGAAACCAAAAACCCACCCAACAGUGACUGUGAAGGUGGAACCGAACCCUCUGCAGUUGUCAGUGAACAUUUCUCCGAUGAAGGUGUUGGGGAUGAUGCCGAAACCUGCAAAAAAUAU
Long non-coding RNA from Spodoptera frugiperda (fall armyworm), 872 nucleotides. RefSeq lists it as uncharacterized. The record is from RefSeq and is a predicted model, not a curated record. The transcript has 2 exons. Lineage: Eukaryota; Metazoa; Arthropoda; Insecta; Lepidoptera; Noctuidae.